AUUCUGAGAACUACAAUCAACAAGACAGAAGAAGACUAGAUGAUGUUUCCUUUCCUGCCCAAUUUAUCUGGUUAAAACGUCUGAUACACUGUUGAAUAGAAGAGGCAAGGGCACAUGUUCAUGUCUUGUUCCUGAUAUUGGGAGAAAGCAUCCCGUUUUUCACCACUCUGGCCAGGACAGCCUAUCUGUGCAGGAGGCAUUGCUGGCACCCCGUGGGGACUGAGGACCAAGGAGGAGCUGCUCCCCCACACACGGUUCGUACUUCUGCUCUGUGAAGAGAGACAACUGUGCCCUGUCACCUUCACUGAACUAUGAGGAUAUUUUUAUAAGACAUCUAUUUCCCAGAUGAGAUAUUCCCUGACAAGUUUUAGGAUAUCAUUAUGUUGUCUGCUGGCUCAUCAACUGAGAAAUCAGCUGCCAGUCUUAUUGUUGUCUCUGUAAAGGAAUGUGUUUUUCACAUCUGGCUACGGCACUUACCCAAGCAGAAACGGGGUUUCACCAUGUUAGCCAAGAUGGUCUCGAUCUCCUGACCUCGCGAUCCGCCCGCCUUGGCCUCCCAAAGUGCUGGGAUUAUGCAUUCUCUCUUUACAUCACAAUGACCAUGACCUUGGAUAUGGAGUCCACUCAAAAGUAAUCUGAACUAAUAAACAAAUUCUGCAAGGUUGAAGAAUACAAGGUCAAUAAAAAUAAUUAAUUAUAUUUCUAUGUGAUACAAUAAACAAUCUUAAAAUUAAGAAAAA
Long non-coding RNA from Homo sapiens (human), 740 nucleotides. NCBI's taxonomy places the organism in Eukaryota, Metazoa, Chordata, Mammalia, Primates, Hominidae. The record is from Ensembl.